AUACGUAGGGGGCGAGCGUUAUCCGGAAUUAUUGGGCGUAAAGAGUACGUAGGCGGUUCUGUAAGCGUGAGGUGAAAGCCCGGGGCUUAACUCCGGUAAGCCUUUCGAACUGCAGGACUUGAGUGCUGGAGGGGAAAGUGGAAUUCCUAGUGUAGCGGUGAAAUGCGUAGAUAUUAGGAGGAACACCAGUGGCGAAGGCGACUUUCUGGACAGUAACUGACGCUGAGGUACGAAAGCGUGGGGAGCAAACAGGAUUAGAUACCCUGGUAGUCCACGCCGUAAACGAUGAUUACUAGGUGUUGGUUGUCAUAGACAAUCGGUGCCGCAGCAAACGCAAUAAGUAAUCCACCUGGGGAGUACGUUCGCAAGAAUGAAACUCAAAGGAAUUGACGGGG
RNAcentral lists this ribosomal RNA (395 nucleotides) under uncultured bacterium. Its description in RNAcentral is "partial 16S ribosomal RNA". It matches the Rfam family "Bacterial small subunit ribosomal RNA", at positions 523 to 918 of the family's 1533-position model. The record is from RNAcentral.